CUCAGAUCAUGUAAGAUUUUAAUGAUCGAACAGAUCAAAAUUUUAAACUUUUGCAUUUAAAUUUUAUCUUAAUCCAACAUCGAGGUCGCAAACUUUUUUUUUUAUUUGAGCUAAAAAAAAAUAUUACGCUGUUAUCCCUAAGGUAAUUUUUUCUUAUAAUCAUUAUUAAUGGAUCAUUUAAUCAUUUAUUUAUGUUUAAUUUUUAAAAAAAGUUCAUUAAAUUUUUCUAUCACCCCAAUAUAAUAUUUAAUUUUAUUUUAAUAAAAAAUUUAAUAUAAUUUUAAAAUAAAAAUAAAUAUAAAACUCUAUAGGGUCUUCUCGUCUUUUAAAAUUAUUUUAGCUUUUUAACUAAAAAAUAAAAUUCUAAAAAUAAAUAAGAGACAGUCUAUAUUUCAUCAAAUCUUUCAUACAAGUUUUCAAUUAAAAAACUAUUGAUUAUGCUACCUUUGUACAGUCAUUAUACUGCAGCCCUUUAAUAAUUAUCAGUGGGCAGAUUAGACUUUAAAUUAUAAUCAAAAAGACAUGUUUU
This 529-nucleotide ribosomal RNA is filed under the name Davidina sculda. RNAcentral describes it as "partial 16S rRNA". The record is from RNAcentral. Lineage: Eukaryota; Metazoa; Arthropoda; Insecta; Lepidoptera; Nymphalidae.